This 420-nucleotide ribosomal RNA is filed under the name uncultured bacterium. RNAcentral's name for it is "bacterial SSU rRNA". It matches the Rfam family "Bacterial small subunit ribosomal RNA", at positions 355 to 772 of the family's 1533-position model. The record is from RNAcentral.
UGAGGAAUAUUGGUCAAUGGGCGGGAGCCUGAACCAGCCAAGUCGCGUGAAGGAAGAAGGAUCUAUGGUUCGUAAACUUCUUUUGCAGGGGAAUAAAGUGCAGGACGUGUCCUGUUUUGUAUGUACCCUGAGAAUAAGGAUCGGCUAAAUCCGUGCCAGCAGCCGCGGUAAUACGGAGGAUCCGAGCGUUAUACGGAUUUACUGGGUGUAAAAGGCGCGCAGGCGGGAUAAAAAGUCAGUGGUGAAAUCCUACAGCUUAACUGUAUAACUGCCUUUGAUACUUUUAUUCGUGAGUUCGGGAGAGAGGUACGGAAUUCCAGGUGUAGGUGUGAAAUACGUAGAUAUCUGGAAGAACACCAGUUGCGCAGGCUGUCUCUUGGUCCGACACUGACGCUGAGUCGCGAAAGCGUGGGGAGCAAA